UUAAUUUGAGAGUUUGAUCCUGGCUCAGGACGAACGCUGGCGGCGUGCCUAAUACAUGCAAGUCGAACGAACUCUGGUAUUGAUUGGUGCUUGCAUCAUGAUUUACAUUUGAGUGAAGUGGCGAACUGGUGAGUAACACGUGGGAAACCUGCCCAGAAGCGGGGGAUAACACCUGGAAACAGAUGCUAAUACCGCAUAACAACUUGGACCGCAUGGGUCCGAGUUUGAAAAGAUGGCUUCGGCUAUCACUUUUGGAUGGUCCCGCGGCGUAUUAGCUAGAUGGUGGGGUAACGGCUCACCAUGGCAAUGAUACGUAGCCGACCUGAGAGGGUAAUCGGCCACAUUGGGACUGAGACACGGCCCAAACUCCUACGGGAGGCAGCAGUAGGGAAUCUUCCACAAUGGACGAAAGUCUGAUGGAGCAACGCCGCGUGAGUGAAGAAGGGUUUCGGCUCGUAAAACUCUGUUGUUAAAGAAGAACAUAUCUGAGAGUAACUGUUCAGGUAUUGACGGUAUUUAACCAGAAAGCCACGGCUAACUACGUGCCAGCAGCCGCGGUAAUACGUAGGUGGCAAGCGUUGUCCGGAUUUAUUGGGCGUAAAGCGAGCGCAGGCGGUUUUUUAAGUCUGAUGUGAAAGCCUUCGGCUCAACCGAAGAAGUGCAUCGGAAACUGGGAAACUUGAGUGCAGAAGAGGACAGUGGAACUCCAUGUGUAGCGGUGAAAUGCGUAGAUAUAUGGAAGAACACCAGUGGCGAAGGCGGCUGUCUGGUCUGUAACUGACGCUGAGGCUCGAAAGUAUGGGUAGCAAACAGGAUUAGAUACCCUGGUAGUCCAUACCGUAAACGAUGAAUGCUAAGUGUUGGAGGGUUUCCGCCCUUCAGUGCUGCAGCUAACGCAUUAAGCAUUCCGCCUGGGGAGUACGGCCGCAAGGCUGAAACUCAAAGGAAUUGACGGGGGCCCGCACAAGCGGUGGAGCAUGUGGUUUAAUUCGAAGCUACGCGAAGAACCUUACCAGGUCUUGACAUACUAUGCAAAUCUAAGAGAUUAGACGUUCCCUUCGGGGACAUGGAUACAGGUGGUGCAUGGUUGUCGUCAGCUCGUGUCGUGAGAUGUUGGGUUAAGUCCCGCAACGAGCGCAACCCUUAUUAUCAGUUGCCAGCAUUAAGUUGGGCACUCUGGUGAGACUGCCGGUGACAAACCGGAGGAAGGUGGGGAUGACGUCAAAUCAUCAUGCCCCUUAUGACCUGGGCUACACACGUGCUACAAUGGAUGGUACAACGAGUUGCGAACUCGCGAGAGUAAGCUAAUCUCUUAAAGCCAUUCUCAGUUCGGAUUGUAGGCUGCAACUCGCCUACAUGAAGUCGGAAUCGCUAGUAAUCGCGGAUCAGCAUGCCGCGGUGAAUACGUUCCCGGGCCUUGUACACACCGCCCGUCACACCAUGAGAGUUUGUAACACCCAAAGUCGGUGGGGUAACCUUUUAGGAACCAGCCGCCUAAGGUGGGACAGAUGAUUAGGGUGAAGUCGUAACAAGGUAGCCGUAGGAGAACCUGCGGCUGGAUCACCUCCUUUCUAAGGAA
RNAcentral lists this ribosomal RNA (1579 nucleotides) under Lactiplantibacillus plantarum. Its description in RNAcentral is "Lactobacillus plantarum 16S ribosomal RNA". It matches the Rfam family "Bacterial small subunit ribosomal RNA". The record is from RNAcentral. Lineage: Bacteria; Bacillati; Bacillota; Bacilli; Lactobacillales; Lactobacillaceae.